AUUGAACGCUGGCGGCAGGCCUAACACAUGCAAGUCGAACGGUAACAGGAAACAGCUUGCUGUUUCGCUGACGAGUGGCGGACGGGUGAGUAAUGUCUGGGAAACUGCCUGAUGGAGGGGGAUAACUACUGGAAACGGUAGCUAAUACCGCAUAACGUCGCAAGACCAAAGAGGGGGACCUUCGGGCCUCUUGCCAUCGGAUGUGCCCAGAUGGGAUUAGCUAGUAGGUGGGGUAACGGCUCACCUAGGCGACGAUCCCUAGCUGGUCUGAGAGGAUGACCAGCCACACUGGAACUGAGACACGGUCCAGACUCCUACGGGAGGCAGCAGUGGGGAAUAUUGCACAAUGGGCGCAAGCCUGAUGCAGCCAUGCCGCGUGUAUGAAGAAGGCCUUCGAGUUGUAAAGUACUUUCAGCGGGGAGGAAGGGAGCAAAGUUAAUACCUUUGCUCAUUGACGUUACCCGCAGAAGAAGCACCGGCUAACUCCGUG
RNAcentral lists this ribosomal RNA (490 nucleotides) under uncultured bacterium. RNAcentral describes it as "partial 16S ribosomal RNA". It matches the Rfam family "Bacterial small subunit ribosomal RNA", at positions 30 to 507 of the family's 1533-position model. The record is from RNAcentral.